RNA transcript from Loxodonta africana (African savanna elephant), 3023 nucleotides. It is a transcript of the gene named trafficking protein particle complex subunit 12, with no coding region annotated. Lineage: Eukaryota; Metazoa; Chordata; Mammalia; Proboscidea; Elephantidae. The transcript has 11 exons. The record is from RefSeq and is a predicted model, not a curated record.
GGAAGCUGACUGCUGCACUGGGCAUGUGCAGAAGCAAGCGUGCGGCGGACUGGGCCCUUAGCCAUAAGCGCAGACGCAGAAGCGGCAAGAGGGCCGUGGGUUCAUUCGUUACCUGGCUUCAUUCACCUUUUACCUGGACCCGGGUUACAACUGCAGGUGACCCCUCAACCCAGAUCCAAGUUUCAGGCAACUAUGGAAAAUGCCAACGGUACUGACCAGAACAUGACUGAGAAGUCUCCUCCAGCUGAGGUGGGAAUGGAGAACAUCAUUCAGGAGGUGACUGAGGAGGAACAAGGGCAGCUUCUUUUUCAUGAGGAAACCAUUGACCUUGGUGGAGAUGAAUUUGGGUCUGAAGAGAAUGAGACCAUCUCAGAAGAUUCUAGUAACUUCAUAGAUAAGCUUAACGAGCAAAUGAUGGAAAGUGUGCUCAUUUCUGACUCUCCUAAUAAUAGUGAAGAUGAUGUGGGUGAACUUGGCUGUUUGCAGGAUGUUGUGGAGCCCGUAGAAGGCAACGCGGAUAGCAGAAUGGAAAAGAUAGAAAGAGAAGAAAUUGAUACUCUGAGUAAUGACAGUGAAACUGACCGUGAUGAUACUCCUAAAGAUGUCUCCGACAUGACCCCUGAUAGCAGAGCCUCUUUGAAAGAAGACCCAACACAAGAAGAAGUAAAAGGCGUGCCUGUCUUUGAAAGUGAAGAUGCAGCUGCCUCAGUCCCAAGUGACGAGAAAACUGAUCCCGAAGAACAGAUAUCAGAAAUGUCUUCCAGUCAGUCUUCUUCUAAAGAUGAGCCUGUCCCCGUGUGCACCAUCUUUAGUCAAUCAAACACAGCUAAUUCCCAGUCUCACUUAUUUCUUCACGAUGGCUUUGAGUCUCAGAUGGUAAAAUCUCCUAGUUUCAGCAGUGCAAGUGAAACUCCAGCCAAGACGCCUCCUCAGAUGGUUCAGCCAAGUCCCAGCCUGAGUAAGUUUUUUGGAGAUACGACCACGAGUUCCUUGGCUUCUGACUUCUUCGAUUCGUUUACCACAUCCACUUUCAUUUCUGUCAGCAAUCCUAACGCAGGCUCUUCAGUUCCAGAAAAAUUGUCUUCACUCACCGCUCCAGCGGGAGACAAGUCUCCCGAUUCCGCUGAGCCAUCCUCCUCUCCUGGGAUUGACAGAUCAGAAUCGGCUAUUUCCACAGCCUCUCUAGAAAUUUCUCAGUCACCGAAACCAUUUUCACAGAUACAAGCUGUUUUUGCAGGGAGCGAUGACCCCUUUGCCACAGCCCUGAACAUGAGUGAGAUGGACCGAAGAAAUGACGCAUGGCUUCCUAGUGAGGCGACCAGGAACGUUUUGAUUUCUGUAGCAACUCAACAGUAUAGCACAGUGUUCAUAGACAAAGAGAAUCUCACCAUGCCAGGCUUAAAGUUUGACAACAUUCAGGGAGAUGCAGUUAAAGACUUAAUGCUUCGCUUCCUGGGUGAGCAAGCUGCAGCAAAGAGACAAGUACUAAAUGCCAACUCAGUGGAACAAUCUUUUGUUGGAUUGAAACAGCUAAUUAACAGCAAAAACUGGAGGGCAGCAGUUGACCUAUGCGGACGCCUUCUUACAGCCCAUGGUCAAGGCUAUGGCAAGAGCGGGCUACCUACCAGUCAUACGACAGAUUCACUGCAGCUUUGGUUUGUCAGACUGGCACUGCUGGUGAAGUUGGGCCUUUUCCAGAAUGCCGAAAUGGAGUUUGAACCCUUUGGAAGUCUAGAUCAACCAGACCUGUAUUACGAAUACUAUCCUCAUGUGUAUCCUGGGCGGAGGGGCUCCAUGGUUCCCUUUUCAAUGCGGAUCUUACAUGCGGAACUUCAGCAGUAUCUGGGGAACCCCCAGGAGUCACUUGACAGACUGCAUAGAAUGAAAACCAUCUGCAGCAAGAUUCUAACAAAUUUGGAGCAAGGCUUAGCUGAAGAUGGGAGCAUGAGUAACAUUACACAAGAGAACAGACAAGGUAGCCUCUGUUCAGCUGUGGAGGUCACGCCUGGGCCGGGUGCUGUACUCUAUGGCAAACUGUCUGCUAAUGAUGAAGGAUUACGUGCUGGCCGUCGAGGCCUACCACGCAGUCAUCAAAUGUUACCCAGAGCAGGAGCCUCAGCUGCUGAGCGGGAUUGGACGGAUUUUCCUUCAGUAGAAUUCUAUAUUGCUGUGGCAAAAUUUUUGAAAUUUGGACUAUAUGAAGUUCAGCAGAGCAUCAGGAUUGGAGGAAGACUCAUUAAUAUCCUGCGACAUGCAGAUGACACAACCUUGCUUGCUGAAAGUGAAGAGGACUUGAAACACUGAUGAAGAUCAAAGACCACAGCCUUCAGUAUGGAUUACACCUCAACAUAAAGAAAACAGAAAUCCUCACAACUGGACCAAUGAGCAACAUCAUGAUAAAGACUGAAGUUGUCAAGAAUUUCACUUUAUUUGGAUCCACAGUCAACACCCAUGGAAGCAGCAGUCAAGAAAUCAAAAGACGCAUUACAUUGGGCAAAUCUGCUGCAAAGUCCUCUUUAAAGUGUUGAAAAGCAAAGAUGUCACCUUGAACACUAAGGUGCACCUGCACCAAGCCAUGAUGUUUUCAGUUGUCUCAUAUGCAUGCGGAAGUUGGACGAUGAAUAAGAAGACCGAAAAAGAAUUGACACCUUUGAAUUGUGAUGUUGGUGAAGCAUAUCGAAUAUACUGUGGACUGCCAAAAGAAUGAACAAAUCUGUCUUGGAAGAAGUACAACCAGAAUGUUCCUUAGAAGCAAGGAUUCAAGACUAUAGCUCACAUACUUCAGACAUGUUAUCAGGAAGGAUCAGUCCCUGGAAAAGGACAUCAUGCUUGGUGAAGUAGAGGUCAGAGAAAAAGAGGAAGACCCUCAACGAAAUAGAUUGACCCAGUGGCUACAACAGUGGAUUCAAGCAUAACAACAACUAUUGGAGACAUAAAAACAGCUGAAAAGUAUUUUCAAGACGUUGAGAAACUAACACAGAAAUUGGACGGACUACAGGGUAAAAUAAUGGUUUUAAUGAACA